AUACGGAGGACGCGAGCGUUAUCCGGAUUUAUUGGGUUUAAAGGGAGCGUAGGUGGGAUAUUAAGUCAGCUGUGAAAGUUUGGGGCUCAACCUUAAAAUUGCAGUUGAUACUGGUUUCCUUGAGUACGGUACAGGUGGGCGGAAUUCGUGGUGUAGCGGUGAAAUGCUUAGAUAUCACGAAGAACUCCGAUCGCGAAGGCAGCUCACCGGGCCGGAACUGACACUGAUGCUCGAAAGUGCGGGUAUCAAACAGGAUUAGAUACCCUGGUAGUCCGCACAGUAAACGAUGAAUACUCGCUGUUUGCGAUACACUGUAAGCGGCCAAGCGAAAGCGUUAAGUAUUCCACCUGGGGAGUACGCCGGCAACGGUGAAACUCAAAGGAAUUGGCGGGG
This 393-nucleotide ribosomal RNA is filed under the name uncultured bacterium. Its description in RNAcentral is "partial 16S ribosomal RNA". It matches the Rfam family "Bacterial small subunit ribosomal RNA", at positions 523 to 918 of the family's 1533-position model. The record is from RNAcentral.